GCGCUCGUAGCUCAACUGGAUAGAGCAUCAGCUUGCGGAGCUGAGGGUUCCGAGUUCAAAUCUCGGCGAGCGCG
This 74-nucleotide transfer RNA is filed under the name Candidatus Omnitrophota bacterium. RNAcentral describes it as "Candidatus Omnitrophica bacterium (groundwater metagenome) tRNA-Arg". It matches the Rfam family "tRNA". Rfam says of the family: Transfer RNA (tRNA) molecules are approximately 80 nucleotides in length. Their secondary structure includes four short double-helical elements and three loops (D, anti-codon, and T loops). Lineage: Bacteria; Pseudomonadati; Candidatus Omnitrophota. The record is from RNAcentral.